This is a long non-coding RNA of Gouania willdenowi (blunt-snouted clingfish), 1473 nucleotides long. The record is from Ensembl. Lineage: Eukaryota; Metazoa; Chordata; Actinopteri; Blenniiformes; Gobiesocidae.
UGAAGUCUAUUAUAUAAGACAGAAGAAAUGUGUUUCUGAUCUGAUAAUAACACAUCAGAUUAACCACAGCAGAAGAUACACCUGCCAGUUUGUUAUAAACAAUGAAGUGAAGAUUUCUGCUGACUACACACUUGUGUCUACAGGUAGGACGACCAAUCAAAUCUCACCUUUAACAUGUAAACACUGUCUUUAUAUGUUCUUCAUUGUUUUCAGCUCCAGUUUAUUUAACGUCUGAUUCGACUCCAAACAAGAUCAUCUUCAUCCUCAACAUUGCAAAGAUUUGCCUGCUGAUCAUCCUGGUUGUUAUUGUUACUACUGUUCAGAUUAAAUACAGGAGGAGGACUGGAGCAGCAGAAGAUGCUCAAGAUCAAGAUUGUGUUCCUGAUGAGCAGGACAGCAGAGUGAUCUGUGAUAAUGUAGAGAAUCACCAAGGCCCUGCCCAGCACCACGGUCAGAAAAAAAGAGGAGGAAGAGGAAGAAGAAGUGAUGUCUUCAACAGUCAAAGAAGCAGUGAAGAAGAUGUGUGUGAGGAGAGGACAGAGGAAUUUUACACCAGCUUUAACUGUACAUGAAAAGAAGCUGUAGCAGUAACACGCCUCCACUGAUGUGUGUGCAUUUCAUAAGUGCUUUUUACGCAGUGACUCUUCUUUUUGUGGCUCAUUUUUUUACAGUUUGGUUUGGUGGAUCAGCUUUUUUCAAAGUGUAACAAUGUGGAAACAUCAAAGCGAUCAGCAGACGUCUCUGAUGUAGACUGGCAGUUGUCAGUCGAAACAUGUCAGGAGAUCAAAGUGGAUUUAUUAAAGAACAGUUGCUUUAAAAAAAAGAAACCAUAACAUAACAUUAUCAUCAGAAGUUUGAAAAGAACAUCAAGAUCUUUUGUCGACUGUCAAUGUUUAUUUUCAGGGCUUUUUCUUUGUCUAAUUACAACUUUAUUCUAAUAAUAUUAAAUAGUUUUUUCUCAUAAUAGAAUAAGUUUACUUUUGGAAUAUUAUGACUUAAUGACUGUUAAAAAUGUCUUAUACUAAUACAACUUUACUCUUAAAGUCUAAAAAACGAUGCUCACACAGAUACUCUUUCUUCAUUUCUGACCCAAGAUAAGGUGUAAAUAUGUCUCAAUGUACUUCCUAUUUUCAGCUUCUUUUUUCUCACUGACUUCCUCUUUUCUGUUUGUUCCAUUGCUUUCGUGCAGAGUGAGAGUCACAUUGUGAAAAAAAAAACAAAAAACACCACAAAUGAAGCCCUCAGUUUCUUUGCAGUUGUAGAUUAAAAUCUCACACAGCUCAGUUACAGUCAGUGUCUCAGGUACAACAUGUUUAAGCAGAGGUGAAAGUAAUGGAUUACAAGUACUCACAUUACUGUAAUUGAGUAGCUUUUAUGGGUACUUGUACUUUUUUGAGUAUAUUUCUAAAUAAGUAAUUUUACUUGUGCUUAAGUACAUUUAAAAGAAAUAAAGUAAUUCAUUACAUUUCUACA